GACGAACGCUGGCGGCGUGCUUAACACAUGCAAGUCGAACGGAAAGGCCCUGCUUUUGUGGGGUGCUCGAGUGGCGAACGGGUGAGUAACACGUGAGUAACCUGCCCUUGACUUUGGGAUAACUUCAGGAAACUGGGGCUAAUACCGGAUAGGAGCUCCUGCUGCAUGGUGGGGGUUGGAAAGUUUCGGCGGUUGGGGAUGGACUCGCGGGUUAUCAGCUUGUUGGUGGGGUAGUGGCUUACCAAGGCUUUGACGGGUAGCCGGCCUGAGAGGGUGACCGGCCACAUUGGGACUGAGGUACGGACCAGACGCGUAUGGGAGGCAGCAGUGGGGAAUAUUGCACAGUGGGCGGAAGCGUGAUGCAGCAACGCCGCGUGCGGGAUGACGGCCUUCGGGUUGUGAACCGCUUUCGCCUGUGACGAAGCGUGAGUGACGGUAAUGGGUAAAGAAGCACCGGCUAACUACGUG
Molecule: ribosomal RNA, 468 nt
Filed under: uncultured bacterium
Lineage: Bacteria
Description: partial 16S ribosomal RNA
Rfam family: Bacterial small subunit ribosomal RNA
Source: RNAcentral